AGCCUUAUAUUCAAAUAAUGAUAUAAAAUUGCAAAUUUUAAGGUGUAGUAAUUACUAAGGCUU
RNAcentral lists this transfer RNA (63 nucleotides) under Phaedyma columella. RNAcentral describes it as "tRNA-Cys". Lineage: Eukaryota; Metazoa; Arthropoda; Insecta; Lepidoptera; Nymphalidae. The record is from RNAcentral.